GAUGAACGCUGGCGGCGUGCCUAAUACAUGCAAGUCGAGCGAACGGACGAGAAGCUUGCUUCUCUGAUGUUAGCGGCGGACGGGUGAGUAACACGUGGAUAACCUACCUAUAAGACUGGGAUAACUUCGGGAAACCGGAGCUAAUACCGGAUAAUAUUUUGAACCGCAUGGUUCAAAAGUGAAAGACGGUCUUGCUGUCACUUAUAGAUGGAUCCGCGCUGCAUUAGCUAGUUGGUAAGGUAACGGCUUACCAAGGCAACGAUGCAUAGCCGACCUGAGAGGUGAUUGGCCCCACUGGAAAUGGGAAACCGGCCCAGACCCUAAGGGAGGGAGGAGGGGGGAAUAUUGCCGAAAGGGGGGAAGCCUGACCGGGGCAAGCCGCGUGUGGGAAGAAGGUCUUCCGGUUGUAAAACCCUUUUAUUUGGGGAAAAAAAAAUUGAGAAAAAACGUUGCACUUUUGGCGGGAACCAAAGAAGAAACCCCGGCUAACUUCGGG
RNAcentral lists this ribosomal RNA (496 nucleotides) under uncultured bacterium. RNAcentral's name for it is "partial 16S ribosomal RNA". It matches the Rfam family "Bacterial small subunit ribosomal RNA", at positions 28 to 507 of the family's 1533-position model. The record is from RNAcentral.